Molecule: ribosomal RNA, 490 nt
Filed under: uncultured bacterium
Lineage: Bacteria
Description: partial 16S ribosomal RNA
Rfam family: Bacterial small subunit ribosomal RNA
Source: RNAcentral
AGUGAACGCUGGCGGUAGGCCUAACACAUGCAAGUCGAACGGCAGCACAGUAAGAGCUUGCUCUUACGGGUGGCGAGUGGCGGACGGGUGAGGAAUACAUCGGAAUCUACUUUUUCGUGGGGAUAACGUAGGGAAACUUACGCUAAUACCGCAUACGACCUACGGGUGAAAGCAGGGGAUCUUCGGACCUUGCGCGAUUGAAUGAGCCGAUGUCGGAUUAGCUAGUUGGCGGGGUAAAGGCCCACCAAGGCGACGAUCCGUAGCUGGUCUGAGAGGAUGAUCAGCCACACUGAAACUGAGACACGGUCCAGACUCCUACGGGAGGCAGCAGUGGGGAAUAUUGGACAAUGGGCGCAAGCCUGAUCCAGCCAUACCGCGUGGGUGAAGAAGGCCUUCGGGUUGUAAAGCCCUUUUGUUGGGAAAGAAAAGCAGCAGGUUAAUACCCCGCUGUUCUGACGGUACCCAAAGAAUAAGCACCGGCUAACUUCGU